This 127-nucleotide microRNA precursor is filed under the name Myotis davidii. RNAcentral describes it as "mir-9193 microRNA precursor family". It matches the Rfam family "mir-9193 microRNA precursor family". The record is from Rfam by way of RNAcentral. Lineage: Eukaryota; Metazoa; Chordata; Mammalia; Chiroptera; Vespertilionidae.
CAUGCACCAGAGGGGUCCCUCCGCCUGGCCUGUGCCCUCUCACACUCUGGGACACCUCAGGGGAUGUCAGAGAGCUGGUUUCAGCCCGAUCCUCACAGGCCAGGCUGAGGGACCCCACUGGUGCACG